UGUUUCGUAGCUGCCAGAAAUAGAAAUAUAAUGGCGUCACUUUCGACGGGGCGUUAUUUCAAGACGAAUGUCAAGCAUGGAGCCAGCUGUUGCAUCCUGCGAACUUCCAAAUGGGUUGCCCGACGCAAUUUUCUCCGUAUUAUUUUUGUUUGGACAUAAAAAUAUAACAUAUUUCUUCGUCACAAAGAAAAAUAGAUGUGCGGGCGUGCCAGUGUACUGGAGUACACAAAAAUAAAUAAAUAAAGGGAAC
This 250-nucleotide long non-coding RNA is filed under the name Sorghum bicolor (sorghum). RNAcentral's name for it is "long non-coding RNA (SBIC_LNC009660)". Lineage: Eukaryota; Viridiplantae; Streptophyta; Magnoliopsida; Poales; Poaceae. The record is from RNAcentral.